AGGGUAGAAGUUUUAAAAUAUUUGAUCUGCACUCGAAAGAAGAUGACCGCCGCCAUCCUACCUUA
This 65-nucleotide transfer RNA is filed under the name Eochionelasmus ohtai. Its description in RNAcentral is "tRNA-Ala". Lineage: Eukaryota; Metazoa; Arthropoda; Thecostraca; Balanomorpha; Pachylasmatidae. The record is from RNAcentral.